Molecule: long non-coding RNA, 3749 nt
Organism: Mytilus trossulus (common blue mussel)
Lineage: Eukaryota; Metazoa; Mollusca; Bivalvia; Mytilida; Mytilidae
Exons: 3
Source: RefSeq, a predicted model, not a curated record
AUUUUCAAAUUCGAAAAGAAGAAGAACAGCAUGAUUUUCGAUUUGGUGACCGUAUUACUUAUAGAUUAUUAUACAUUACAUAACCUUACACAAUCAAUUUACUUUUUAUGAUUAUUCUGAUGAACGUGCCCCAUAUAUUUUAUUCCCAAAACCUUUAAUAUAAAAAGGAGGUGUCCGGGUCAGGUCGUGCAAACCCAAUAACAAACUGCGCUGAAGUUUUUAAGAUUAUUGGAUAAUUGACUUGUUCUACAUGUACCUAACUUACCAGGUGACAAUACAAGUUGUACCCUUGAUAUUGGUAUAAAUUCAAAUGCUUAGUGAUAUACAAAAAAAGAAGAUGUGGUAUGAUUGCCAUUAUGGACUUUCCUCAUUGUUGAAGGUUUGUACAGUGAUCUAUAGUUGUUUUAAAAUGUAUGUGUCAGUUGAGUCCCUUGUGGAUAGUUGUCUCAUUGGGCCAAUGGGACAACUGUCCACAAGAGACCAGUUGUCUCAUUGGGCCAAUGGGACAACUGUCCACAAGAGACCAAAAUGGCCAAUGAGACAAAUGUCCACAAGAGACCAAAAUGACCCAGACAUUAACAAAGUUGUACAGGUCACCAUACAGCCUUCAACAAUGAGCAAAGCCCAUAAGGCAUAGUCAGCUAUAACAGGCCCCGUUAAGACAAUGUAAAACAGUUCAAACGAGAAAACUUAAGAUAUGUGCAUUGUUCAUAUUGUAUAUGAAGAUUAAUAAGAUUAAAGUAAACAAUUUGGUAUGUUUCCAAAAUAAAAGCUAUCGACCAAUGACCAACUGAUGUACAAAUGUUACAUACAUGUUGGUCACCAUACUUCCUUCAUUUAUAUUAAGACUAUUGAGUAAAUUUGUGCAAUCAUUUCAAACCUGUACAUGUACAUACUGUUAAUAUAAAUUUAUACAUGUAUAUAUAUAGGCUCCGUGUUGAAGGCCGUACUUUAACCUAUAAUGGUUUUAUUUUUAAAUUGUUAUUUGGAUGGAGAGUUGUCUCAUUGGCACUCACACCACAUCUUCCUAUAUCUAUAUACAUAUUAUUACAGUUCAGUGACUCAAGUUUAAAAUACAUAAGCUUAAGGUCAUAACAGAAUUUAAACUUACUAUCAUAUUUGUAUGAACAUCAUGAUGAAUAUUAACAUUCUCUUAAAGAGUUUUAAUUUUACUUAGCUAAUACAGAAGAUGAUGGAUUCCCCAACAGAAAUCUUCAUGUCGGACGGAUCAAGGUGAAAAAAUUGAAGAAUUGCAUCAAUUGUUACAGGGAAUCAAUUUGCAAGCAGAAACAGGUGCUCAAAGAUAAGGGAAUACAACAGCCAGCCAUGCUCCUUCACAUGUAAAGUAAGCAGCUGUUCGUGAUGCUUAUAGGCAUACACAAUCUAGUCUGGGCAUGUAAAACAGCAGCUUGUUCUAUUUUGAAAAUCGACAAAAUAGAGCUAAGGUCCUUUAAGCCAAGAAACUGCUAGUGUCUGAAGAGGACAAUGAAUCUUAGACAGGCCAUGAAAAUUGAUUUAAUGUCAAGUGACAGUGAUUCUGUAAAUAAACUCGCCUGAUCACAAGACCUUCGAUUUGACUGUCACAAGAUUUUAAAUCUUACAUGGAUAGACUAAAGUCAUUUACUAGACUGUGAAUACUAGACUUUCCGAUGAAGCCGACACAGUGUCAGACCAACUAAAUGCAUAGAAGAAUAAAAACGCUGCUACACGAGGACCAAGAAUGCACAAGGCACAAAGCUGAGGUCUAAGUAAAUCGAGAGAGGCCUUGUCACAAGAAAUGUACAGAACUUGCAUGUUUUUUUUCGUUAAGGGCAUAUGACAAAAAUUGAGAGAUAUCAAUGAAAAUUUCUUUGAAUUUAAAAAAGGGCCAAUUCAAAGGUACACUUUUGGAAUUUGCAAGAACAAAAAUACCUUCAUGUUUACUAUGUUUACUUUUGAAUAAAAUGUAUAGUUGACAAUCUUCACUUUAAGGGGAACCUCUGAAAAUAAGUCAAAUGGAGGGGUUUGGUUUAUUGAAUUCGAUUAUUUUUUAAAGUAAAACAGAUGAAUUAUUGCUCUUUAAUUUCAACAUUUGCAUUUUACUAUUAAAAUUAUUUACAAACUUGUGCAACAUGUAUAUCAAUGACAUCAGAUUAUGUUAUUGUGUUUGGUUAAGCUACAUAUUUCUUUUUACUUAAACUUUCUGUUGCCUUUACUAGUUAAUAAAAUGCUGAAUAAAAAUUUGAGUGUGGCUCAUUCCAGUGUCUAGUAUUUGCUGUCAAUUUUUUUGAUGAUUUUACCAUAUUAUUUAUAAUAGCUUGGUCAAAGGGAGAUAACUUUUUGUAUUUUCACAUUAAAAUGCUGAAUAAUAAUUUGAGUGUGGCUCAUUUCAGUGUCUAGUAUUUGCUGUCAAUUUUUUUGAUGAUUUUACCAUAUUAUUUAUAAUAGCUUGGUCAAAGGGAGAUAACUUUUUGUAUUUUCACAUUAAAAUGCUGAAUAUAAUUUGAGUGUGGCUCAUUUCAGUGUCUAGUAUUUGCUGUCAAUUUUUUUGAUGAUUUUACCAUAUUAUUUAUAAUAGCUUGGUCAAAGGGAGAUAACUUUUUGUAUUUUCACAUUAAAAUGCUGAAUAAUAAUUUGAGUGUGGCUCAUUUCAGUGUCUAGUAUUUGCUGUCAAUUUUUUUGAUGAUUUUACCAUAUUAUUUAUAAUUGCUUGGUCAAAGGGAGAUAACUUUUUGUAUUUUCACAUUAAAUCAUCUGCAAAGAGGAUUAUGUAAAAUGUGAUUUGUUGAAAACUAAUUUUAUGGUUCAAUAAAAUCAAAAUAAAUUUCUAUCAAAAAUAAGGCUCAAAGAACUUUUUAUAUUACUAAUAUUAACAAUAACUAACAAUGUACACACAUGUUGACGUGUUAAUACACAAUGUCAGAGUGGGUAUAGGCGUCACCAUAAAAUGUAAACAUUGAAAAUAAAACUGAUACUUUUAACUUUAUAUAUAUAAGCAGGAGACAGUUAAUACACCAAAUAUAUUUUUAAACCUAUAAACUUAUUAUUUUCUUCAAUUGUUCAAGUUCAUUCAAUAUUGAUAAAUUUUUGCUUGACAUUACAUAAUUUUGUUGAUAAAAGUUUAUUUGUGUGCUAUUUUAUUUAAUUGUACAUUUUUGAAAUAUAACAUUACACCUUAUUAUUUUAAUUCUUGCAUACAGCAUUUGGAAGGAAAUCCCAUAACAUUUAAAUUAAAAUGUUCAAGCAGCAGGAUUGUUAUUGAAUUUAGCAAUUAUGUUAAUUAUGUAAAUAACGUAAUGUUUUUUGUUUUUUGCUUUUUGAAGUUUUUUGAAAUUGACAAAUAAUGCUAGCAAGGGACAUUAUUAUUAUUAAUAUUUUUAUGAUGCCAAACUUGAAAUUUUUAGGUGGCUAUGUUUGCUCUUUGUUAUAACCCUAUUGUUAUGAUUCUGUAACCAUCUAUACAAGUAAGCAUGUUGAUUUGUCACUUACCAUUAUUUUAUUGAUUAGUUUGAAUUUGAUGAGGUUCUUCGAUGUAAAACUGGACUUAUUUAAACAAAAAAUGUUUUGUUUUAUUUGUUUGAUAGUAAAAUUGUAUAACAAACAUUUGACAUUUUAUUUAAUUUAUCAUCAAAACAACUAUUUUGUCAGUAUCUGAAUAAAAUUAAUUUGUUAGAUACUUUAUUUCUUUUAUUGAAGUAUAUACAAAGGGAGAUAAUUCAAAAUUGUUUUUUAUUAUUCUGACCUGAUGAGAAGUCAUGAAAAUAACUAUG